GAUGAACGCUGGCGGCGUGCCUAAUACAUGCAAGUCGAGCGAAGCGGGGACGGUGGAGAAACACGUGGAUAAGCUCCUAUAAGACUGGGAUAACGUCGGGAAACCGGAGCUAAAACGGAUACUUAUACAUGGAUCCGCGAUGCAUUAGCUAGUUGGGAAGGUAACGGCUUACAAAGUCAACGAUGCAUAGCCGACCUGAGAGGUGGAUCGGCCCCACUGGAACUGAGCCACGUCCCCGACUCCUACGGGAGGCAGCAGUAGGGAAUCUUCCGCAAGUGGCGAAAGCCUGACGGAGCAACGCCGCGUGAGUGAUGAAGGUCUUCGGUUCGUAAUACUCUUUUAUUAUGGAAGCGGUACCUAAUCAGAAAGCCACGGCUAACUACGUGCCAGCAGCCGCGGUAAUUC
This 405-nucleotide ribosomal RNA is filed under the name uncultured bacterium. RNAcentral describes it as "partial 16S ribosomal RNA". It matches the Rfam family "Bacterial small subunit ribosomal RNA", at positions 28 to 526 of the family's 1533-position model. The record is from RNAcentral.